Molecule: ribosomal RNA, 165 nt
Rfam family: Bacterial large subunit ribosomal RNA
GGGAUAAACGCUGAAAGCAUCUAAGUGUGAAGCCCCCCUCAAGAUGAGAUUUCCCAUUCCGUUAAGGAAGUAAGAUCCGUUAGAGAAUAUGACGUAGAUAGGCUGCGGGUGGAAGUGUAGUGAUACACGGAGCUGAGCAGUACUAAUAGAUCGAGGGCUUAACCG